Molecule: small nucleolar RNA, 134 nt
Organism: Cairina moschata (Muscovy duck)
Lineage: Eukaryota; Metazoa; Chordata; Aves; Anseriformes; Anatidae
Source: Ensembl
AUGCAUCCUUUGACAGACCUGGAGCAAAAACCCGUUGCUUCUCGGGUUCUUGUGGAGAUGCGACAGCAACCGGCUCCUUGCGCUUUCCGCCUGCCCGCCCCGUGGCAGUCCGGAUUGAAGAAGGGAGCACAAAG